CCUCCUCCUGCAUUCCCUUCCCAGCCGCCUCCCCCUUUCCUCCAUUUUCCCAUUUCCUUUUUCAACAACACUUUCUCUCUUCACAUGUACAUAGCAAACCAACGGAAUCAUUGGCCAGAUAGCCCGGCGCCUUCUCUCUUUCCAAUAUUGUGAUAGGUAUUGAGUGGAACCUAGAAGAUUAUAAUGUAAUGUUGGGAGAAGCCACAGUUCGUCUAAAAGACGUUACAAAUAAAAAUUAGAUGAAAAUCCUUUCAAAUAUUUUUAAAAAAGUAUACAGGGUGCAUUUUAAUCUGUUGAAUACAAGUAAAUCAAACAUCAGUCUUGAUGCAAAGAGUAAAAUUACUUCAUCCUUGACCGCAGAAGAUCAUCUGGUGGCAACAUCUUCAAUCCCCAGAUCAAAUACUUAGGAACUUAGUUUUGUUUUGAUGUGGAACCCUUCAGAAUUUUAUAGAUUAUAGUUGAAUAAUCGAGUCUACUUUAGAUAGAUAUGUGUAUUUUAGAAUUAAUUUUUGAAACUUUUUGAUGUAAAUUUGUAUAAUAAAGUGAUAUUCAAAGUUUA
Nicotiana tabacum (common tobacco) is the source of this 559-nucleotide long non-coding RNA. RefSeq lists it as uncharacterized. NCBI's taxonomy places the organism in Eukaryota, Viridiplantae, Streptophyta, Magnoliopsida, Solanales, Solanaceae. The record is from RefSeq and is a predicted model, not a curated record.